CCUACGGGAGGCAGCAGUAGGGAAUAUUGGGCAAUGGAUGCAAGUCUGACCCAGCCAUGCCGCGUGCCGGAUGAAGGCCCUCAGGGUUGUAAACGGCUUUUAUUCGGGAAGAAGAGCAGGGAUGCGUCCUUGUGUGACGGUACCGAAUGAAUAAGCACCGGCUAACUCCGUGCCAGCAGCCGCGGUAAUACGGAGGGUGCGAGCGUUGUCCGGAUUUAUUGGGUUUAAAGGGUGCGUAGGUGGCUGUUUAAGUCAGUGGUGAAAUACGGUUGCUCAACAAUCGAGGUGCCAUUGAUACUGAAUAGCUUGAAAUAAUUGGAGGCUGCCGGAAUGGAUGGUGUAGCGGUGAAAUGCAUAGAUAUCAUCCAGAACACCGAUUGCGAAGGCAGGUGGCUACGAUUGGUUUGACACUGAGGCACGAAAGCAUGGGGAGCAAACAGGAUUAGAUACCCUGGUAGUCCAUGCUGUAAACGAUGAGGACUCGUUGUUUGGCUGCAAGGCUGAGCGACUUAGGGAAACCGUUAAGUCCUCCACCUGGGGAGUACGCCGGCAACGGUGAAACUCAAAGGAAUUGACGG
This 578-nucleotide ribosomal RNA is filed under the name uncultured bacterium. RNAcentral describes it as "bacterial SSU rRNA". It matches the Rfam family "Bacterial small subunit ribosomal RNA", at positions 338 to 916 of the family's 1533-position model. The record is from RNAcentral.